UGUUAAUGGUUAGUAAAAUUAUCAAAUUAUGUAAAAUUAGGUUAGGGUUAGGAUUUUUAAUUAAGUUAGGGUUUUUAAUUAAGUUAGGUUAGGGUUAGGGUUUUUAAUUAAGUUAGGUUUUUAAUUAAAUUAGGUUAGGGUUAGGGUUUUUAAUUAAAUUAGGUUAGAGUUAGGGUUUUUAAUUAAGUUAGGGUUUUUAAUUAAGUUAGGUUUUUAAUUAAGUUAGGGUUUUUAAUUAAGUUAGGGUUUUUAAAUAAAUUAGGUUUUUAUUACAUCAAAUAGAACUUCUAUUUUAUUAUAUUAAAUAAACUUCUAUUUUAUUACAUCAGAUAAUAAAUUUAAAUACGGCAAUCAAUGUCUAUGCCCGGGGGAUUCGGUUCCACAUGGCGGCCGUCGACGGUUACGCGCUGGAUUCCUCCUUCCUCUAGCUUCAGGCGGCGGUUGUUCUUCCUUCGGUGAUGAUUGUGGUUCUUCCGGUUCGACAUCUGGUUGUCGGACUUGGGAUGAUGAUCCACCUUCAAAGAAUAGUGUAUGUGGAGGUGUUUGCAUCAUGAACGGCGACGGUGUUUGAAAGCCAUACGUUGGUGGCGAGUAGUAAAAAGGAGAGCUCCCCGACGGCCCCCCUUGCAAUCCCUCCUACGCCGCUGGCCUAGAUAUCGAUGGUCCGCUCGGCAUAACAGGAAAUGGAGCUGAACCGGGCAUUUGGCUCCAACCUGCCAUAGGAUUCGGAAAAGGAUACAUGUAAGGGUUAGGGUACAUAUAAGGGCUAGGAAACACACCUGGCAUCAUAGGGAAAGGCGGUUGCGUGGGUAUCAUCUGUUGAAUUGCU
Molecule: long non-coding RNA, 829 nt
Filed under: Gossypium raimondii (Peruvian cotton)
Lineage: Eukaryota; Viridiplantae; Streptophyta; Magnoliopsida; Malvales; Malvaceae
Description: long non-coding RNA (GRAI_LNC004052)
Source: RNAcentral